UCCGCAGUAGCUCAGUGGUAGAGCAAUCGGCUGUUAACCGAUUGGUCGUAGGUUCGAGUCCUACCUGCGGAGCCA
This 75-nucleotide transfer RNA is filed under the name Bacillus seohaeanensis. RNAcentral describes it as "tRNA-Asn". It matches the Rfam family "tRNA". From Rfam's summary of the family: Transfer RNA (tRNA) molecules are approximately 80 nucleotides in length. RNAcentral also lists the same sequence under 4 other names. The record is from RNAcentral. Lineage: Bacteria; Bacillati; Bacillota; Bacilli; Caryophanales; Bacillaceae.